Molecule: ribosomal RNA, 643 nt
Filed under: uncultured bacterium
Lineage: Bacteria
Description: bacterial SSU rRNA
Rfam family: Bacterial small subunit ribosomal RNA
Source: RNAcentral
CGCGGCCUAUCAGCUUGUUGGUGAGGUAAUGGCUCACCAAGGCGACGACGGGUAGCCGGCCUGAGAGGGCGACCGGCCACACUGGGACUGAGACACGGCCCAGACUCCUACGGGAGGCAGCAGUGGGGAAUAUUGCACAAUGGGCGAAAGCCUGAUGCAGCGACGCCGCGUGAGGGAUGACGGCCUUCGGGUUGUAAACCUCUUUCAGCAGGGAAGAAGCGAAAGUGACGGUACCUGCAGAAGAAGCGCCGGCUAACUACGUGCCAGCAGCCGCGGUAAUACGUAGGGCGCGAGCGUUGUCCGGAAUUAUUGGGCGUAAAGAGCUCGUAGGCGGCUUGUCACGUCGGUUGUGAAAGCCCGGGGCUUAACCCCGGGUCUGCAGUCGAUACGGGCAGGCUAGAGUUCGGUAGGGGAGAUCGGAAUUCCUGGUGUAGCGGUGAAAUGCGCAGAUAUCAGGAGGAACACCGGUGGCGAAGGCGGAUCUCUGGGCCGAUACUGACGCUGAGGAGCGAAAGCGUGGGGAGCGAACAGGAUUAGAUACCCUGGUAGUCCACGCCGUAAACGGUGGGCACUAGGUGUGGGCGACAUUCCACGUCGUCCGUGCCGCAGCUAACGCAUUAAGUGCCCCGCCUGGGGAGUACGG